UCAAAACAAAAAUAAACAAAUCAUACACCUAACCAAAGAACAAAAAUCAUGUAAAACAAAAACCAGCAAUGAAAAUCAAAACUCCCCCUUUGCCAAUGCACAAAGGGAUUGCUAACCCGCCUUUGCUGCGUUUUUUGUGAUCUCAAAUCUUCAUUUUUACUAACUAUAUGUGGAGUCAGGUUGGGAGGAUACGGUUGAACAAAUUCUUGAAAGCUCUUGAAUGAACCAACCGUAGCAAAGUUUUCUGGGUGAUUAUAGAGAUGUGAUUAUACGAUACUUCAACAGUUCAACUACAUCCAUGCAAGAGAACCACGAUCAUUUGUAACUUGUGGACGGCCUCUAGUUGGCGUUGGUGGUCUGUUUGCAUUAAGCUCCUAAUUACAUGUGAAGAACAUGUUCAUGUUAAUAACAUCAAUAAGACAUAAUAAAGUGAUGAAAAUAUGGAUUUGAAAACGUACCUGCAUCCAUGUAUCAUCGAUAUGCCGUUCAGGGGAAGUUUCAGGUGAUGAAAUUGCUGGUGGCAGAGGAUGAAUAAGUUUCGGAACCACUACAAGAUCUCUACCCAGCACUAAUAUCGCGCCUGCAUUAUUUGCGGUACCUAGAGAAUACACCAAUUGGCAAAGUUCAGUACGUAUCAUUAGAUAUGUGUCUAGGGGUGUUUUUUUAACCUAAACCCGACAACCGACCCUAAUAAAAUUAACCCAAACCCGAUUACGGUGUUACCCAGUUAACCCGAACAAAAUGGAACCCGAAACCCAAAAAUAGUAUCCGGGUCGGUAAUUGGGUUAACAAAUGUUAAUCGGAUUGACCCAAUUAACCGGGGAAUUAGAUUAAAAAAAUGUCAAUUAUAACUUUAUAAAUAAUUCACAACAGAAAAGUCUAAAGUUCCUCCCUCACGUUUUUGUUUUGUCGUGAACAAGAUUUUUUUGUUUCGGUGUUUCAUUGGUUGGUUUGCCGGACUAAAAAGAUUCGGUUACGUUGAUAUGAUUUGACUUUUUAAUUUAUACGAUGGGUUGAUACGGUUUGGUUUUGUGAUUAUUGUAUUUGACUUUUUUAGGUAAUAUAUAUGUUUAGCGAAUCGGUUUGAACGAAAUAUCAUAUUGGGAGUGUUUUUAUUUGGCAAUUUGUGUUUUUUACUUAAUGAUCAUGUUAAAUUAAAUUGUAAAGUAAGCAUUGCAGCUUGUAUUUAAAAAUCCGUGUACCAAUUAACCCGACCCGAAUUAACACGAAACCUAUUAACCUGAAUUUUAUUUAGGUCGGGUUACGCAUAGGAUUCACAUGACAAAAAAACCCAAAUAACCCAGAACCCAAUUAAAAAACCUGAAUAAUACCCCUAGAUAUGUCAAAUCCUACCCAGUUACGAGUGCUAACUAGCUUUAUUAUAAAAAAUUUGAAUCUUAUUGUAACGUUAUCGAACGAAAGAAUUACCACAAUAAUUAGUGGCUGAGAAGAGGGUAAUCAAAUGUCCUUGGGCAAAACGUUCAAAUCCAUCCAUUACACAUUCAUGUGCACGUACAAUCAGUUGGAGAUCAUUGUUGUUGCAGAAUUCCAUAACACGAUCAGGCUGUCAAAUCCAUGCAUAUGCAAAUGAAUUAUGAAUUAUGAAUAAUGAACCAUCUUUUCAUAUAUAUAAUAACUAAUAAGAAACAACACUAACCCCGAAAGUAACUAACCCAGGACCUCUGGCAUUUGGUCGCAGUCCUUCCACACUGUCAUUUUCUGUUGGGUCAGACCUAUUCAGAAACCUAACUGUCAGAACAUGUAUAGAGUAAUUCGAUAAAAUUCAGUUUUAACAAUGGAUGAACAAAGAACCAACCACAAUAAAUCCAUAAGUACAAUUGAACCAGCUUCCAUCGUGAUCGGCCGUUGAAGGUUUUCGAUCUGCUCAAUAUGAUUAAUUGACCUCCCAAUACCACCAUGCAUACAAAUAAUCUUUUUCUCAAUUAACGCGGCCAGUGGCAACCAGUUGAAUAAUCUGUUUAUCCUGUGCCAUACCCAGAUUCCAUCUCUCUCGCCCUGUUUAUAAUUAUUUAUUAUCAUUGAAAUUAGAAAUGACAAUUUCUACCUAUUAACUUAUGCAUUGAUCAACUGAGGUUCAAUUUUAUCACUGGUUUAACAGAUCAAAAGUCGCCCAAAAUGUAAUUUUAAUGCAGAAAUUCUCCUAAACCAUUUUAUUAAUAAAGCAAGUAUUAAUGAAAUGAUAUAAACUUAUAAAUUUAGGGGUGCCAACAAGCCUAGCUGAGCCCAAGCUCGCCAGGCUCGAGCUCGGCUCAUUGGUAGUUUCUCAAGCUUGAGCUCGGCUUGUUUAUUAUCUAUUCAUUAAUAUAUUAAAUAGAAAUAAUACAAAUAAUAGACUCGUUUAGGCUCACGAGCUCGAUAAGUGAAGCUCGGGCUCGUUUACAAAACAAGCUUAUUUUUAAGUUCGGGCUCGGCUCGCAAACAAGUUUAAAUAAGCUCGACUCGGCUCGUUUCCUAGACAACUUUAAAUAAGGGUAAAUGUUAUUAAAUAUUAAUAAAACUUAAUAUUACACUAAGGCUCGACGAGCCUGGCGGGCUUCACAUGCCAGACUCAAGCUCGGGCUCGGUAAAUAAACGAGCUUUGUUUUAGGCCAAGCUCGGCUCGGGCUUGAUAAGGCCCGGCUCGUUUCGAGCUUUUUCUCAAGUCGAUCUCAAGCAGCUCGCGAGCCGCUUGGCUCGUUUGCACCCCUACUUAUAAUCAUAUUUGACGUGCUAAAGAAAAUUAUAAUGAAAGAGUUUUGGAUCACCAGUCAAGAUCCUUCUAUGGGGAUCCGUACUCAUCAAAAAGUCUCAUGA
RNAcentral lists this long non-coding RNA (2814 nucleotides) under Helianthus annuus (common sunflower). RNAcentral describes it as "hypothetical non coding rna". Lineage: Eukaryota; Viridiplantae; Streptophyta; Magnoliopsida; Asterales; Asteraceae. The record is from RNAcentral.